GUCUACGGCCAUACCACCCUGAACGCGCCUGAUCUCAUCAGAUCUCGGAAGCAAAGCAGGGGUCGGGCCUGGUUAGUACUUGGUUGGGAGACCACCUGGGAAUACCGGGUGCCAUAGGCU
RNAcentral lists this ribosomal RNA (120 nucleotides) under Aotus nancymaae (Ma's night monkey). The record is from RNAcentral. Lineage: Eukaryota; Metazoa; Chordata; Mammalia; Primates; Aotidae.